UCUUCGCCUGUUUAUCAAAAACAUGUCUGUGUGAAUUAGUUAUAAAGUCUAGCCUGCCCACUGAUUAAUUUAAAGGGCCGCGGUAUUGUGACCGUGCGAAGUGUAGCAUAGUCAGUAGUCUUUUAAUUGAAGGCUUGAAUGAAAGGUUGGACGAGGGAUAAGCUGUCUCUUUUAUGAGGUUUGAAUUUAACUUUUGAGUGAAAAGGCUCAGAUUGUUUAGUGGGACGAUAAGACCCUAUAAAACUUUAUAUAAAAGUGGUUUGGUUUAUAAUUUAAGUAAAAAGUAAUUUUGCUAGGUUUAUAUUUCGUUGGGGAGAUGUAGAUAUAAUGUGUAACUGUCUGUUUAAUUUGAUAAUUGUAGUUAGUGUAUGAUCCUUCUUUGUGGAUUAAAAGUAUAAGUUACUUUAGGGAUAACAGCGUGAUUUUCUUUGAGAGUUCUUAUCGACAAGAGUAGUUGCGACCUCGAUGUUGAAUUAAAGUUCCAGUUAGGUGUAGCCGUCUAUCAGGUGGGUCUGUUCGACCUUUAAAACUUUACGUGAUCUGAGUUCAGACCGGA
RNAcentral lists this ribosomal RNA (556 nucleotides) under Macrobrachium sintangense. Its description in RNAcentral is "partial large subunit ribosomal RNA". It matches the Rfam family "Bacterial large subunit ribosomal RNA", at positions 1793 to 2620 of the family's 2925-position model. The record is from RNAcentral. Lineage: Eukaryota; Metazoa; Arthropoda; Malacostraca; Decapoda; Palaemonidae.